GGUUGUAUGGAGUAGUGGUCAACUUAGGAGAUUUUGAAGCGCAGCAGGCCGGAAGGCUUGCUUGCAUCCGAAUUUCUCUUGCCCCGGGUUCGAAUCCCGGUACGACCU
RNAcentral lists this transfer RNA (108 nucleotides) under Sporisorium reilianum SRZ2. RNAcentral describes it as "tRNA-Gln for anticodon UUG". It matches the Rfam family "tRNA". Rfam says of the family: Transfer RNA (tRNA) molecules are approximately 80 nucleotides in length. The record is from RNAcentral. Lineage: Eukaryota; Fungi; Basidiomycota; Ustilaginomycetes; Ustilaginales; Ustilaginaceae.